RNAcentral lists this ribosomal RNA (468 nucleotides) under uncultured bacterium. Its description in RNAcentral is "partial 16S ribosomal RNA". It matches the Rfam family "Bacterial small subunit ribosomal RNA", at positions 28 to 507 of the family's 1533-position model. The record is from RNAcentral.
GACGAACGCUGGCGGCGUGCUUAACACAUGCAAGUCGAACGGAAAGGCCCUGCUUUUGUGGGGUGCUCGAGUGGCGAACGGGUGAGUAACACGUGAGUAACCUGCCCUUGACUUUGGGAUAACUUCAGGAAACUGGGGCUAAUACCGGAUAGGAGCUCCUGCUGCAUGGUGGGGGUUGGAAAGUUUCGGCGGUUGGGGAUGGACUCGCGGCUUAUCAGCUUGUUGGUGGGGUAGUGGCUUACCAAGGCUUUGACGGGUAGCCGGCAUGAGAGGGUGACCGGCCACAUUGGGACUGAGAUACGGCACAGACUCCUACGGGAGGCAGCAGUGGGGAAUAGUGCAAAAUGGGAGGAAGCCUGAUGCAGCAACGCCGCGUGCGGGAUGACGGCCUUCGGGUUGUAAACCGCUUUCGCCUGUGACGAAGCGUGAGUGACGGUAAUGGGUAAAGAAGCACCGGCUAACUACGUG